This 1087-nucleotide long non-coding RNA is filed under the name Brassica napus (rape). RNAcentral's name for it is "long non-coding RNA (BNAP_LNC002602)". The record is from RNAcentral. Lineage: Eukaryota; Viridiplantae; Streptophyta; Magnoliopsida; Brassicales; Brassicaceae.
UAUACCGUAAAUCUUUUUUUUUGUUAUCUGGUAAUUUUAUUAAACAACACUACAAGAGAAGACAUAGAAAAGGUCCGGACUGCUAAAAACAACACAAAGGCUCAAGAUGGCCAAACUUAAAAAUACAAGGACGAGACUCAAACAUGGGCCCAACCAAGAACGCCCAGAAAGAAAAGACACGUAUGCUUCACGUGUACGAAGAAGAGAUUGAAAGAAAACAUGAUUCGAAACGCAGAAACUGCAUCCAUACCGCCACCGACAAAAGCUUUAUGCCGGAACUCUGAAAAACCACAGGAGACCAAUCUUAUCAAAGCCAGAAAAAAUACAUGAAUAAAACAGAGACAAACGAGCGAACCACCAAAUCAAUCACUUCAACCGAAUCAAUCACUUCACCGGAUUAAAAACACCCAAUCUGAACCACUACGACCUAAUCUCUACGGAUUGAAAGACGUCGUCGGAAACCUAAGCGUUAAACUACUGGAACCUACCGGGGACAUGACCACGAUCAAAGAAACCCACCAGCUUCAAAGCAUACACAUUCAUUGCCUAAGCCACAUCCAUCGGAGAGCGUCAAUAGACCAGUCGAGAAAUCAUCCACAACACCAAGCCACCAAACACAAAGAAACAUAACCGUCCCACAGAUCGAGAAUACUCGGGGGGGGGGGGGGGGGGGGGUUNNNNNNNNNNNNNNNNNNNNNNNNNNNNNNNNNNNNNNNNNNNNNNNNNGGGGGGGGGGGGGAAGUCGAUUACACCCUGAAGAAAAUGGUAUAAGUCGGAGUCAAAAGCCGGCCGUCUUCACCGAAGAAGAAAGUUAUGACGCCAGAGUCUGAAAGAAGCCAUCGAUGCCAAAAAGGAAAACAAUCGCCGAAAACGAGAAGCAAGAUACUACUCCGACGGUAACACCGAAAACGCCACCGCCGAAAACCACAUCCACCGUAAAUCAAUAUAUAAAAUUGUAAGAUAAACUUAUUUAUAUAAGUUAACUAUUGUAUUUAAUGAAAUAACUAGAGUUAACACAACAUCAAAAAAUUUUUUUAACUAAAGUUAACUAUUCAAAUAAAUCAGUUUUAUUGAAUAUGUAUUAUGC